GACACGUCGGCACCUCACACACUGAGAAGCCGCAGAAGGCAAGGAUGUAAGACUGUGGCGUGCCAGAGUCUUCACUUGGAGAUCAGAAUAAAAAGUAACCGAAUGUCGGGGUUCAGAGUUUGGCCCCUGUCGCCAAACUACCUAGACUCAAUUCUGGUUCUGCCAUUACCAUGAGGACUUGGCCAACCCACAUCACAGAGCUGUGCCGCAGUCUUCUCAUCAGUGAAAUGGAGUAAAGACUUCUAUGAGCUGCCCACUGAGUGCUACUUCUCCUUCAUUUGAAGUCUUCCUGAAUUUGUGACUAUCCUCGCAUGGUGGUAUAGUGGCUUUCCUCCUUACCCUGUCUCUCCUUGUGGAAGCAGGAGCUAGGACUGACCUCCGGAUCCUUUGUCUUCUCUAAAAAUGGAUCCUGCUGUCUAGUAGGUGCUCAGCAAAGGUCUCUUUCAUUUGGAUGCUCCCCUGGACCCUGGAGGGAGGGCCAGAGAAAGUCAAUGGUG
Hyaena hyaena (striped hyena) is the source of this 497-nucleotide long non-coding RNA. RefSeq lists it as uncharacterized. NCBI's taxonomy places the organism in Eukaryota, Metazoa, Chordata, Mammalia, Carnivora, Hyaenidae. The record is from RefSeq and is a predicted model, not a curated record. The transcript has 3 exons.